GUCCACGCCGUAAACGAUGAAUGCUAGUUGUCAGUAAGCAUGCUUAUUGGUUACGCAGCUAACGCAUUAAGCAUUCCGCCUGGGGAGUACGGCCGCAAGGUUAAAACUCAAAGGAAUUUACGGGGGCCCGCACAAGCGGUGGAGCAUGUGGUUUAAUUCGAAGCAACGCGCAGAACCUUACCCACUUUUGACAUGCCCAGUCUGAUCGGUAGAGAUACCUUUCUUCAGUUCGGCUGGCUGGUGCACAGGUGCUGCAUGGCUGUCGU
Molecule: ribosomal RNA, 266 nt
Filed under: uncultured bacterium
Lineage: Bacteria
Description: partial 16S ribosomal RNA
Rfam family: Bacterial small subunit ribosomal RNA
Source: RNAcentral